UGUUACCUUCUCAACAUGGCGAGCUUGCUGGACGUCACGUCGCCUUCGCCUUUUCCGCUGCGGACUCUGCUCACCGACCUCCUCAGUAGAGCCGGCCCUGCUCACUACCGCGCCCACGUGUCCUGUUGUGCUUCAUUCCCACAGGCCGCAUAAGAAGUGGGUGCCGAGGCUCCCUUCCCACUGCCAUUCCACUGGCCCAGAGGAAGCUUCUGUUGUGUUCAGAUGGGCAGGCACUCUUCCUCGAGAAGUUAAGUAGCCGGAAUAUCUAAAUGCCUCUCCUUGGCGAUUACUCGAUGAGCGCCUGUCCUUCCUCCACUCUUCCAGCAGACCUGCCUUUUGGGGCUGAUGGAAAUAUGCAUAUUAGAUUAUCUGCAGAAACUGGCUCAGCACUACAAGGAGCUUGGCCCAGAGAGCUACCUUAGACCCUCCAAUGAAUCUAUUCAAACAGCUGCCUCUGUUACCUUGACUCGUCUCAGAUUUUGUCGACCCGAGACGGGUCCUGGCACUAGGAAUGUAAAACUGUCUAUUAUUUCAGCUUGCUCCAGGCUGCCAACAUGAAGACACUGGAUGCGGAAUCAGGAGGAGAUGUAUACAGCUCAGUCUCCAAAGCCAGGACAAGCCAGCUCCAACACACUACUGGCUGAAUCUCACCAAUCGUUAUAGUUUUGUUUUUUGUUUUUUUAAAUGUAUUUAAGCAUUUUUAGGUGUUUUAAAUUUUAUGUGUGUAUUCUAGGAAUAUGUACUCAGAUUCUUUCAUUAGGCAUGUGUUAUUAACAACAUUCAUCUUCUUAAAGGCUGAACCAACUUUGCGCGUUUUAUCAACAGAUAUUCACUGAGCACCUAAUAUUGCCAGGCUGUGCUCAAGGCAGUGGGAUUCAUCAGUGAACAAUACAGACAAAAAUCACUGACCUAAAUGGAGCUUGAAGUUUAUAUCUAAAUCAUUCAAAGAUUCUGUGGUGGAAAAGAAGUUAGAAAUCUUUCAGCUGCAAAACAUAAGCCAAAAUACAACUCACCUUUGGAAUCAGAGAACUUACAGGUUCAUAAAAUUGCGAAGCCCAGAUGUGCACCUGAGGUGAGACUUCGUCCAGCUUCUGUCUGUGUCACUAAUCUUUCCUGCUUUCAGCGGCAUCCCUCGCAGGCCCGUGUUGUUCCCAACUGGUGUUCCCACCUGGCGGCAAACUGGUGACUGUAGUUACAGAUCUUCAACAUCACACUCAGGAGAAGAAGGAGAUUGCUUUUCAGGAGCUCCUGCAAGCCGGAGAAUAAAAGCUCUUAUUUAUUCAGAAGCCCUAAAACAUACCACCUUGGCUAUAGACUAUUUGGACAUUUCUAAGCAAAUCUGUCUGCAAAGGUGCUGAGCUGUGUUGAUCAACUGAAGCCCGUGACGUCUCAUCCUUGCAGUUGGAGCAAAUCUCAAAGGCAAAGCCAGUGUUAAGGAGAGGGAAAUCAGACUUCAUCUUUCGAUGGGAGAAGAAAAGAGUUUGCAACUGUCUCUAUUCUGCCACUGGCAGAGAAUCCAUAGGUUUGCUAAGGAUACAGAGCCACAUUGAAAAGAUAAACCUUGCUAUGCUGGAGAUUACUUAGGUGGGCCAGGAUUUCUUGAAACCAAAACUUUACUGAAUCACCUCUUCACCAUCUGUAUGCCGUGCAUUUGCUGAGCAAUUCUACAUCUGGACUUUAUCCUACAAAUGUUCCUGCGUGUGUAUGAAAGAGGGAAAGAUUGAAAACAACCCAAGUGUCCGUCCACGGGGACUCUGGUUAAAUGAAGUGUGGAAUCCCUGCAGUGAACACCAGCCUUCCAUAAUGGACAGAGGCAGCCCUUCUCUACGCAUCAGAAAUAACCCAAGAUAGAGGAAGCUCUCUCGGUACCCAUCAGAAAUAUCCCCAGACAGAGAGAGCCCUCUGCGUGUCAAUCAGAAGUGUGCCCAGACAGAAGUUUUCAUCUUUCAUCGAACAAAUCUAUUUAUGGUGGCUUCUUUUACCAGUUCUUCUGCCUGAUCCCCACUGCCACUACUUGGUUAUUUUCUGCUAUAUCUGCCUAUAUAGUAAUCUUCAGAAAUAUUGCCUUAUGGUAAUUCUUGGACUCCAUAGAAGCGUGAUCAAAAACAAAGAGACUGAAUGCUCAAACAAACUACAACGAUCAUAGAACGGGAGUUUUGGACAUAACAACUUGUGACAGUUUGUUUUCUUCUAGCAUUUUCUUACAAACACCAAGCCCCUUCAGCGUGUUACUGUGGAGGAAGCAUGCUGGCACAGUGAACUCAACACCCUCUCCCAGCAAAUCCUGGGUCCUUCAGGGACUCCAAUGGCCCCUGGGAACCCAUUCACACUGCUUGAGUUUUCUCCAGAAUCCAGUCCACGUACUCGACCACGUUGGUGUAAACACCUGGCCGCUCCCUUUGAGCACAGCCUUCGCCCCAGCUCGUGAUGCCUACCAGAUGCCAGACCUCAUUGUGUUUGCAGGACAGAGGGCCUCCCGAAUCUCCCUAGAACGAGGGGAGACAAGAAAAGGUUCAGCACGAUAUCGCACAUGUGCCAGGAUGAGAGGGCGAGAGAGAGACAAGCCUCACCCUCACCGCUAACUCCUCAUCCAACUCACUUUGAUCCUGCACAAGUUGCUUAAUUGUUCUAACCUUCAAUCCUUCAUCCCUAAAUUAUCUUUAAUAAAUUAUCUUUAGACUAA
This 2683-nucleotide long non-coding RNA is filed under the name Homo sapiens (human). RNAcentral's name for it is "long non-coding RNA NONHSAT200819.1". Lineage: Eukaryota; Metazoa; Chordata; Mammalia; Primates; Hominidae. The record is from RNAcentral.